UACGGAGGGUGCAAGCGUUGUUCGGAAUCACUGGGCGUAAAGCGCAUGUAGGCGGAUCAGUGUGUCGGGUGUGAAAUCCCGGAGCUCAACUCCGGAACUGCGCCCGAAACUGCUGGUCUUGAGUUCGGGAGAGGAACGUGGAAUUCCGGGUGUAGAGGUGAAAUUCGUAGAUAUCCGGAGGAACCCCAGAGGCGAAGGCGACGUUCUGGACCGAUACUGACGCUGAGAUGCGAAAGCGUGGGGAGCAAACAGAAUUAGAUACUCUGGUAGUCCACGCUGUCAACGGUGAGUACUAGGUGCUGCGGGUGUCUGACCCCUGCGGUGCCGGCGCUAACGCAAUAAGUACUCCGCCUGGGGAAUACGGCCGCAAGGUUA
RNAcentral lists this ribosomal RNA (375 nucleotides) under uncultured prokaryote. RNAcentral's name for it is "bacterial SSU rRNA". It matches the Rfam family "Bacterial small subunit ribosomal RNA", at positions 524 to 896 of the family's 1533-position model. The record is from RNAcentral.